UACGGGGGGGGCAAGCGUUGUUCGGAAUUACUGGGCGUAAAGGGCUCGUAGGCGGCCAACUAAGUCAGACGUGAAAUCCCUCGGCUUAACCGGGGAACUGCAUCUGAUACUGGAUGGCUUGAGAUUGGGAGAGGGAUGCGGAAUUCCAGGUGUAGCGGUGAAAUGCGUAGAUAUCGGGAGGAAGGCCGGUGGCGAAGGCGGCGCUCUGGAACGUACCUGACGCUGAGACACGAAAGCGUGGGGAGCAAACAGG
This 253-nucleotide ribosomal RNA is filed under the name uncultured bacterium. RNAcentral's name for it is "partial 16S ribosomal RNA". It matches the Rfam family "Bacterial small subunit ribosomal RNA", at positions 524 to 776 of the family's 1533-position model. The record is from RNAcentral.